Molecule: ribosomal RNA, 387 nt
Filed under: uncultured bacterium
Lineage: Bacteria
Description: bacterial SSU rRNA
Rfam family: Bacterial small subunit ribosomal RNA
Source: RNAcentral
CGAACGCUGGCGGCGCGCCUAAUACAUGCAAGUCGAGCGAGAAGACGUAGCAAUACGUUUGUAAAGCGGCGAACGGGUGAGGAACACAUGGGUAACCUACCCUAGAGUGGGGAAUAACUAGCCGAAAGGUUAGCUAAUACCGCGUACGCUCCUUGGACUUCGGUACAGGGAGGAAAGCGAUACCGUGGGUAUCGCGCUCUUGGAUGGGCUCAUGUCCUAUCAGCUUGUUGGUGAGGUAACGGCUCACCAAGGCUUCGACGGGUAGCUGGUCUGAGAGGACGAUCAGCCACACUGGCACUGCGACACGGGCCAGACUCCUACGGGAGGCAGCAGUAAGGAAUAUUGCGCAAUGGGCGAAAGCCUGACGCAGCGACGCCGCGUGGGGGA